This 503-nucleotide ribosomal RNA is filed under the name uncultured bacterium. RNAcentral describes it as "partial 16S ribosomal RNA". It matches the Rfam family "Bacterial small subunit ribosomal RNA", at positions 28 to 523 of the family's 1533-position model. The record is from RNAcentral.
GAUGAACGCUAGCGGCAGGCCUAACACAUGCAAGUCGAGGGGUAGCAGGAUUAAGCUUGCUUAAUUGCUGACGACCGGCGCACGGGUGCGUAACGCGCAUGCAACCUACCUUAUACUGGGGCAUAGCCCGGAGAAAUUCGGAUUAAUCCCCCAUAGUACUAAUGAAUCGCAUGGUUUAUUAGUUAAAGCAUUGCGGUAUAAGAUGGGCAUGCGUCCUAUUAGCUAGAUGGUGAGGUAACGGCUCACCAUGGCUACGAUAGGUAGGGGGCCUGAGAGGGUGGUCCCCCACACUGGUACUGAGACACGGACCAGACUCCUACGGGAGGCAGCAGUGAGGAAUAUUGGUCAAUGGGCGCAAGCCUGAACCAGCCAUGCCGCGUGCAGGAAGAAUGCCCUAUGGGUUGUAAACUGCUUUUAUUUGGGAAUAAACCUCUUUACGUGUAGAGAGCUGAAGGUACCAAAUGAAUAAGCACCGGCUAACUCCGUGCCAGCAGCCGCCGUAA